RNAcentral lists this ribosomal RNA (849 nucleotides) under Alternaria atra. RNAcentral's name for it is "eukaryotic LSU rRNA". It matches the Rfam family "Eukaryotic large subunit ribosomal RNA", at positions 68 to 935 of the family's 3401-position model. Lineage: Eukaryota; Fungi; Ascomycota; Dothideomycetes; Pleosporales; Pleosporaceae. The record is from RNAcentral. RNAcentral also lists the same sequence under 16 other names.
ACAGGGAUUGCCCUAGUAACGGCGAGUGAAGCGGCAACAGCUCAAAUUUGAAAUCUGGCUCUUUUAGAGUCCGAGUUGUAAUUUGCAGAGGGCGCUUUGGCUUUGGCAGCGGUCCAAGUUCCUUGGAACAGGACGUCACAGAGGGUGAGAAUCCCGUACGUGGUCGCUGGCUAUUGCCGUGUAAAGCCCCUUCGACGAGUCGAGUUGUUUGGGAAUGCAGCUCUAAAUGGGAGGUACAUUUCUUCUAAAGCUAAAUAUUGGCCAGAGACCGAUAGCGCACAAGUAGAGUGAUCGAAAGAUGAAAAGCACUUUGGAAAGAGAGUCAAACAGCACGUGAAAUUGUUAAAAGGGAAGCGCUUGCAGCCAGACUUGCUUACAGUUGCUCAUCCGGGCUUUUGCCCGGUGCACUCUUCUGUAGGCAGGCCAGCAUCAGUUUGGGCGGUAGGAUAAAGGUCUCUGUCACGUACCUCCUUUCGGGGAGGCCUUAUAGGGGAGACGACAUACUACCAGCCUGGACUGAGGUCCGCGCAUCUGCUAGGAUGCUGGCGUAAUGGCUGUAAGCGGCCCGUCUUGAAACACGGACCAAGGAGUCUAACAUCUAUGCGAGUGUUUGGGUGUCAAGCCCGAGCGCGUAAUGAAAGUGAACGGAGGUGGGAACCCGCAAGGGUGCACCAUCGACCGAUCCUGAUGUCUUCGGAAGGAUUUGAGUAAGAGCAUGGCUGUUGGGACCCGAAAGAUGGUGAACUAUGCUUGAAUAGGGUGAAGCCAGAGGAAACUCUGGUGGAGGCUCGCAGCGGUUCUGACGUGCAAAUCGAUCGUCAAAUUUGGGCAUAGGGGCGAAAGACUAAU